GAUGAACGCUAGCGACAGGCUUAACACAUGCAAGUCGAGGGGUAACAGGGUAGCAAUACCGCUGACGACCGGCGCACGGGUGAGUAACGCGUAUGCAACCUGCCUAUAACUGGGGAAUAGCUCCCUGAAAGGGGAAUUAACACCGCAUAACACUAUUGAUUCGCAUGGAUUGGUAGUUAAAUGUAGCGAUACAGGUUAUAGAUGGGCAUGCGUGACAUUAGCUAGUUGGUGAGGUAACGGCUCACCAAGGCUACGAUGUCUAGGGGUUCUGAGAGGAAGGUCCCCCACACUGGUACUGAGACACGGACCAGACUCCUACGGGAGGCAGCAGUGAGGAAUAUUGGACAAUGGGCGCAAGCCUGAUCCAGCCAUGCCGCGUGAGUGAAGAAGGUCUUCGGAUUGUAAAGCUCUUUUACCAGGGACGAUAAUGACGGUACCUGGAGAAUAAGCCCCGGCAAACUUCGUG
Molecule: ribosomal RNA, 466 nt
Filed under: uncultured bacterium
Lineage: Bacteria
Description: bacterial SSU rRNA
Rfam family: Bacterial small subunit ribosomal RNA
Source: RNAcentral